This 254-nucleotide ribosomal RNA is filed under the name uncultured bacterium. RNAcentral's name for it is "partial 16S ribosomal RNA". It matches the Rfam family "Bacterial small subunit ribosomal RNA", at positions 524 to 776 of the family's 1533-position model. The record is from RNAcentral.
GACGAACCGUGCGAACGUUAUUCGGAAUCACUGGGCUUAAAGCGCGUGUAGGCGGGGCAGCACGUCGGCCGCUGAAAUCCCCCGGCUCAACCGGGGAAGUGGCGCCGAUACGACCGACCUGGAGGGGGGUAGGGGGGGCCGGAACUUCCGGUGGAGCGGUGAAAUGCGUUGAGAUCGGAAGGAACGCCCGUGGCGAAAGCGGGCUCCUGGACCCCACCUGACGCUGAGACGCGAAAGCCAGGGGAGCGAACGGG